UGUGGUUCAUGACUGGGGUGAAGUCGUAACAAGGUAGCCGUAUCGGAAGGUGCGGCUGGAUCACCUCCUUUAGAGUGAUCAAGCGCCGCUGGGCGCCCACACAAGACACCUGUAACCAGAAGCAGCGCCCUGCGGGGCUGUAGCUCAGCUGGGAGAGCACCUGCUUUGCAAGCAGGGGGUCACCGGUUCGAUCCCGGUCAGCUCCACCACAACCGNUGCGUGGCGUGGCCAAGUUGAUCGGUGCUACGACGAUAGAGCGUGAGAAGACGCAACGGGUCUGUAGCUCAGGUGGUUAGAGCGCACCCCUGAUAAGGGUGAGGCCGGUGGUUCGAGUCCUCCCAGACCCACCGACUUCUGGAUAGUGCAUACAG
This 371-nucleotide ribosomal RNA is filed under the name uncultured bacterium. Its description in RNAcentral is "partial 16S ribosomal RNA". The stretch from base 134 to 206 matches the Rfam family "tRNA". The record is from RNAcentral.